AUCUAUGACCAUACCACCCUGAACGCACCCAAUCUCGCCUGGUCUCGGAAGCUAAGCAGGGUCGGGCCUGGUUAGUACUUGGGAGAAGAAAGGGAGAAGCGCCCUUUCAUUUUAAACA
Mesocricetus auratus (golden hamster) is the source of this 118-nucleotide ribosomal RNA. Lineage: Eukaryota; Metazoa; Chordata; Mammalia; Rodentia; Cricetidae. The record is from Ensembl.